GGGGAAAGCCAGCAGUCACAAGCCUCACCCAGCUCCCAUGCAAUCCAAAGAGCCAGUCUUACUCCCACCACCCCCACCCCCAACAACACUAAGUCUGUUUCCAGGCAGUGGGCAAGCAGGGCUGAGAACUUGAACCAGGCUACCCGCCUCCCAGCUGUGAAGGCUUUUCCCAGUGCCUCUGGCAACCCUCCAGAAGGACCCCUGGGAGGCCAGGCAAAAAGGGCUUGCUAGGAGACCCAGCGAGUUCCCAGGGCUUUUCCCUCUGCAUCCUUUACCCCUGUAUUUCACUUGGCUCUCUAAAUUGACUCAGCUCCAGCAUACCAGCAGGGAAUCCAGAAGAACAUAACUCUAAGAGUCAUCCCACAGGAUAGAGAAGAUGCAUCUUUUGUCUAUGACAGAAUGUGAUUUUGAAGAAAGGAGGAAAGAUGUGAAAAGUGAUUGGUCAGCCACAUUCAUGGUGUUGAGAAAAGAAUUUGCUUUUCUGGAACAUAGCCUGUGAUAGCAGAACAACACCUGGCAAGAAACAGGUUAUGUUUGGCUGGAGAGUCAUUGGCACUAUCAAGAAAUAUUAAAGUGUAGAUUUGAGAGAGGAGGAGAAAGACCCAAGCAAAAUUGAAAACCAGGUGGGACCCAGACAGCAGCAAAGCAAUGGAAGCAUGUAUUUUGGUCAAUAUAGAGUUAAUACACAAUUUUGCCCCUCUUCUUCUGAUCAUGGGACUCAUAUUACCAGUCUUCACAUUUCCUUUAAAUUCAGGAAUCAGGAAGAAUUUCCAGAGUUUGCAGAUGGACACAUUUGCUGCUUCCAUUCUAAACAUAAGUUAGAAGAACCUUUCAACUGGAUUCCAACUUUAAUAUGUCACAAACAUAAAAAAGAAAGCUAUUUCCUGGACUUUUCUUCAUUAGAAAUUAAUAGAUUGUCAAUUGGCAUAGGGAAAAGAUAAUCAACAGAUGCCAACCCCAAGUUAACAGAAAUGCUAAAAUUAUAAGACAAAGACUUCAAAAUAGCUAUUUUAAUUUUGCCUAGUGAGGUAAAUGCAAACAUGCUCACUAUGAAUGAAAACAGGUAAUCUCAGCAGUCAUGUAAA
Long non-coding RNA from Homo sapiens (human), 1085 nucleotides. Ensembl annotates it as cancer susceptibility 9. Its record names the gene CASC9. NCBI's taxonomy places the organism in Eukaryota, Metazoa, Chordata, Mammalia, Primates, Hominidae. The record is from Ensembl.